Molecule: transfer RNA, 86 nt
Filed under: Clostridiaceae bacterium
Lineage: Bacteria; Bacillati; Bacillota; Clostridia; Eubacteriales; Clostridiaceae
Description: tRNA-Leu
Rfam family: tRNA
About the family: Transfer RNA (tRNA) molecules are approximately 80 nucleotides in length. Their secondary structure includes four short double-helical elements and three loops (D, anti-codon, and T loops).
Source: RNAcentral
GCGACCGUGGCGGAAUUGGCAGACGCGCCGGAUUUAGGUUCCGGUAUUUCUUCGAUGUGGGAGUUCGAGUCUCUUCGGUCGCACCA